CACUGAGAAAUCCUGUCUUGAAAAACAAAACAAAAAACAAAACAAAACAAGACAACCAACCAACCAACAACCAACCAAACAAACAAAAAAACCAAGCAACAACAGCAACAAAACAACAAAGGUUUAUUAAAAUAGUUUGGAAUGUGAAUUGGAUUUGUAAAAUGCCUCUGUCUCUCUCAGUCCUGGCCCUGAGACUUUCUUGUGCCUGAGAUAUCAUCAUGGUGUUUAACUACUGUUUGAGCCCCGUCUCUAAUCUGAAAUGCUUUGACACAUGGCCCACUGUGUCCGUGGUUGAUCCUACAAUCACCCUGAAGUAGAACACAGCAUCCCUUGACACAGUAGCUGCACAAAGGUCUCUGUAGGGUUGAGGGGCCCUGACUGAGUCAGCUCUUAUGUCUUCUAGAAGUUGCUUGAUGGCUGAGCAGUUAUAUAUGUCUGGGUGCAUCUGCACUUUGGGAAUCAGCUAAAAGAACAAUGAUCGGAAAGGACCUCAAGGAAGACUCUUGAAGACAACUCGAUGUUAUUCUUUCUGUCUCUUUGCCCAUGACAGGGCUUGGUAGAUUCUGGCCUCUGAGUAGCAGAAUGAAGUAAGCUGCUGCGAAAGAGACUUCCUCAACUCACAAAGCAGGCAUAUUUACUAGCUGGUUAUUCAUAGAACAACUAUUCUGACUUUGGCUGCAGUUGGCUGACCUGGGAACAUCACCACGACUGUGACAAGGGAACAAGGGAGGAAACGGAGUCCUAUAAACCACCUCCUCACGCCAACUAACAUGCCAAUAGACAAAGAAAGUCACACGUCACACAAAUGACCUCAGAAUCAAAGGGUUUAGACUCAGGUUUCCAAGCGAGAGCAGCGUCAGCAUCACAAGACACAGGGUCAGUGUGAUGGAGGAGUGACGGAUGGAAAAGACCGUUCAUGGCCACUUUGUGAUGCUGUUAUGACGUUCUCUGCAGAGACUCUAAAACCUCAUGCCAUGAAGGCAGCCUUUGUUCUAAUGCGCCAGUCAUCAUCUGAUCAGAUUAAUUGUAACCCAUGCUAUGCUCUGUGUGACAACAAUGGUUGCCACAAAGCUUAAAAAAAUGCAAGCGUAUGAAUUUGCAACAUGCCGCCUUAGGAAGACAGAUGGGAUAGGAACAAAUAUUUGGAUAGCCUUAUCGCCUCUAGAACCAAGCUGGUUCCCAAACUGUGCCCCGUCUGUUCUCUUGAAAUUAUCAUCUGCACCCUGCUCCCAACCAAACACUUCAUAAUAUUUAAUUUUUUUUUCUAUCGGUGUAGUAAAUGUAGAUCAGAGAGCAUUACUGGCCUAAAGGUAAUGACCAUGUUGGUGUUUGAUGUAACAAUUAAUAUUAGUCCAUGGCUUAUAUUUGCCAUGAAAAUAAAUACUACUUUAAAUU
Molecule: long non-coding RNA, 1395 nt
Organism: Arvicola amphibius (Eurasian water vole)
Lineage: Eukaryota; Metazoa; Chordata; Mammalia; Rodentia; Cricetidae
Exons: 2
Source: RefSeq, a predicted model, not a curated record